This 329-nucleotide unclassified non-coding RNA is filed under the name soil metagenome. RNAcentral describes it as "partial contains 5.8S ribosomal RNA, internal transcribed spacer 2, and large subunit ribosomal RNA". The stretch from base 1 to 120 matches the Rfam family "5.8S ribosomal RNA", at positions 35 to 154 of the family's 154-position model. The record is from RNAcentral.
GAUGAAGAACGCAGCGAAAUGCGAUACGUAAUGUGAAUUGCAGAAUUCAGUGAAUCAUCGAAUCUUUGAACGCGCAUUGCGCCCCCUGGUAUUCCGGGGGGCAUGCCUGUCCGAGCGUCAUUACAACCCUCAAGCUCAGCUUGGUGUUGGGCCCCGCCGCCCCGGCGGGCCCUAAAGUCAGUGGCGGUGCCGUCCGGCUCCGAGCGUAGUAAUUCUUCUCGCUCUGGAGGUCCGGUCGUGUGCUCGCCAGCAACCCCCAAUUUUUUUCAGGUUGACCUCGGAUCAGGUAGGGAUACCCGCUGAACUUAAGCAUAUCAAUAAGCGGAGGA